CCUACGGGGGGCAGCAGUGAGGAAUAUUGGUCAAUGGACGAGAGUCUGAACCAGCCAAGUAGCGUGAAGGAUGACUGCCCUAUGGUUUGUAAACUUCUUUUAUCUGGGAAUAAAACGUUCCACGUGUGGGAUUUUGUAUGUACCAUAUGAAUAAGAAUCGGCUAACUCCGUGCCAGCAGCCGCGGUAAUACGGAGGAUCCGAGCGUUAUCCGGAUUUAUUGGGUUUAAAGGGAGCGUAGGUGGAUUGUUAAGUCAGUUGUGAAAGUUUGCGGCUCAACCGUAAAAUUGCAGUUGAUACUGGUAGUCUUGAGUACAGUAGAGGUGGGCGGAAUUCGUGGUGUAGCGGUGAAAUGCGUAGAGAUCACGAAGAACUCCGAUUGCGAAGGCAGUUCACUGGACUGCAACUGACACUGAGGCUCGAAAGUGUGGGUAUCAAACAGGAUUAGAUACCCGAGUAGUC
Molecule: ribosomal RNA, 460 nt
Filed under: uncultured bacterium
Lineage: Bacteria
Description: partial 16S ribosomal RNA
Rfam family: Bacterial small subunit ribosomal RNA
Source: RNAcentral